Aplysia californica (California sea hare) is the source of this 465-nucleotide long non-coding RNA. RefSeq lists it as uncharacterized. The record is from RefSeq and is a predicted model, not a curated record. NCBI's taxonomy places the organism in Eukaryota, Metazoa, Mollusca, Gastropoda, Aplysiida, Aplysiidae. The transcript has 2 exons.
GUAUUUGCAAAAUGUGGGGCCUCUUGCAAUGACUUCUGCAAAAGGUGGAACUACAUAGGAGGAACUUGUCAGCCAUCUAAAACCAACUGCCCAAAAGACCCCUUCAAGUUUCAAUGCCGCUGCGUCAAGAAACUCUUCAUAGGCUUAUAACAUGAGGAAGUUGCUACGUCCAAGACUACGUCUGUACUUCGUCUAGACCACGGCGCCAGGGGAGUUGGUUCAAACACUUAUCUCUACGUUUUCCAGGAACUCAGAAAAUCAGAAUUUUUUUCAAGGAAUACUUUAUGACGUAUGUACAUGUGUUUAGUCUGGACCACAGCGUCGAGGAAGUUGGUUAAGACACAUAGAUCUACAUUUUCCAGGAACUCAUAAAUUCAGAAUGUUUAAGUUUAAUUAAAGUGAGCAUCUCGUUUAUUAUUAUCAAGAUUUACAAAGUAAAGAUAAAGAUAACAUUAUGAACUUUGA